This 492-nucleotide ribosomal RNA is filed under the name uncultured bacterium. RNAcentral describes it as "partial 16S ribosomal RNA". It matches the Rfam family "Bacterial small subunit ribosomal RNA", at positions 29 to 507 of the family's 1533-position model. The record is from RNAcentral.
AGUGAACGCUGGCGGUAGGCCUAACACAUGCAAGUCGAACGGCAGCACAGUAAGAGCUUGCUCUUACGGGUGGCGAGUGGCGGACGGGUGAGGAAUACAUCGGAAUCUACUUUUUCGUGGGGGAUAACGUAGGGAAACUUACGCUAAUACCGCAUACGACCUACGGGUGAAAGCAGGGGAUCUUCGGACCUUGCGCGAUUGAAUGAGCCGAUGUCGGAUUAGCUAGUUGGCGGGGUAAAGGCCCACCAAGGCGACGAUCCGUAGCUGGUCUGAGAGGAUGAUCAGCCACACUGGAACUGAGACACGGUCCCGACUCCUACGGGAGGCAGCAGUGGGGAAUAUUGGACAAUGGGCGCAAGCCUGAUCCAGCCAUACCGCGUGGGUUAAGAAGGCCUUCGGGUUGUAAAGCCCUUUUGUUGGGAAAGAAAAGCAGCAGGUUAAUACCCCGCUGUUCUGACGGUACCCAAAGAAUAAGCACCGGCUAACUUCGUG